CUCUUGUCAGUUUAUCAACAAAAAAUAUCAAGCAGAUAAUCUGACAUUUGACACUCCAACAAAGAUUGCAAAUGUCCCACGAACUGUAUUGAAGCGAUUGACGGAACCCACGUGGAUGCAUGAAUAUUCAAUAUUGAAAAGAUUACAUACAUAUGGACGGUGUGGAUCACCCACACAAUGUGAUUGUCGAAAGAUAACUCCAGGAUUUCUGGGACCUCUGAACAAGUGUUCUGCCACUGUGGACUACAAAAUUCCAUACUGACGUCACGUCAGACACAUAGCUACG
Molecule: long non-coding RNA, 286 nt
Organism: Phalaenopsis equestris
Lineage: Eukaryota; Viridiplantae; Streptophyta; Magnoliopsida; Asparagales; Orchidaceae
Exons: 3
Source: RefSeq, a predicted model, not a curated record